RNAcentral lists this ribosomal RNA (327 nucleotides) under uncultured eukaryote. RNAcentral describes it as "partial 18S ribosomal RNA". It matches the Rfam family "Eukaryotic small subunit ribosomal RNA", at positions 1470 to 1796 of the family's 1831-position model. The record is from RNAcentral.
CCCUUAGAUGUUCUGGGCCGCACGCGCGCUACACUGACGAAUGCAACGAGCUUAUAACCUUGGCCGAAAGGUCUGGGUAUUCUCCAAAUUUCGUCGUGAUGGGGAUAGAUUAUUGCAAUUAUUAAUCUUCAACGAGGAAUGCCUAGUAAGCGCAAGUCAUCAGCUUGCGUUGAUUACGUCCCUGCCCUUUGUACACACCGCCCGUCGCUCCUACCGAUUGAAUGGUCCGGUGAAGCGUUCGGACCGUGGCCUUUGGACGGUUCGCCGUCUGUUGGCUGCGGGAAGUUCGUUAAACCUUAUCAUUUAGAGGAAGGAGAAGUCGUAACA